CUCUUCACACGUUACUCACACACAUACAUCCUUCUCAUAUCCUUUCAUAUAUCCAACAUGAAGAAAUAUUCAAAUCCUAAUUCUAUGCCAUACAAUCAAAGAAAAUCACAAGUAGGGGGAAAAAAAAGAAAGAAGAAAAAGGAGAAGGAGUAGAAAGGGGCAGGGAAAAAAAUGGCAAAGUGUGUGGGUUAUGGUGGCAAACAGGAUGUAAUAAAGAAGGAAGAAUCAUUGCCUUUGCUCUAUCCUCUCAUAGCUUUGUCUGCAGUGAUAUAUGGCAUUUCAGACACAGCCAGCACCUUUGGGACAUGAAGAGUUAGAACACUAAUAAUGCUGAACAUUUUUGAGUACCUUUUGUUUAUCAAGUGCUGAGCAAAAGCCUGGGAUUCCACAGAACCUCGAGAGGCCAAGCCCCAGGAUAAGACUUAAGGUACCACAGAUCUGGCAACAUCAAAGAAAGCGAUCUAGAAACAUGAUAUUUACUGUACAUCUCCAAGGAGCAGCAAAGCACAGGGGUCAGGAGGUCAGACUCUGGAACCAGACUCACACUAGAACCCUCGGGGACUAUGACUGCCGACCCACUAAAUUCUGUUCCUGGUUACAAUUCCACGGGGAACUCUCACCCUUUCUGGGACUCUUCAGAUCAACACACCAUAUGAUGAAACUGUUUCUUGUGUUUCAAAUGAACAAGAAGAAGAGAAAGGAUUCCAUAUGUUGAGGAAUAUCACAUAAGUGGGAAACCACAGUCCAGGUCCCACCACCCCUUUCUCUUAAUAACAAAAUACA
This 783-nucleotide long non-coding RNA is filed under the name Pan troglodytes (chimpanzee). RNAcentral describes it as "lncRNA (ENSPTRG00000054165.1)". Lineage: Eukaryota; Metazoa; Chordata; Mammalia; Primates; Hominidae. The record is from RNAcentral.